Molecule: non-coding RNA, 295 nt
Organism: Miniopterus natalensis
Lineage: Eukaryota; Metazoa; Chordata; Mammalia; Chiroptera; Miniopteridae
Source: RefSeq, a predicted model, not a curated record
UUCUCACUGCUUCACAAUGAUUGAUAAUGUGGAGAUGGAAAGAGCAGGAUGUUAUAUUUCACUCUCCGUGCAGCCUGCUGCUGCUUUGGCACUUAGAGUCAUAUGUGAUCGGAAACGACCCUAGAGGAAUCCAUGCUCGGUUUCCAGAUGAAGAAACAGAAUCUGAAACAGAAAUUACUUUUUUUUCAUGGAAGAAGAGGUACAAAGACUGUAGAGAGUCCACCCAGCUCCCAGAAUGCUACCAUAUUUUAUAACCAUGGGAUUUGACAGAACAAACUGCCCCCAGACACCAUGG